Long non-coding RNA from Passer domesticus (house sparrow), 9782 nucleotides. RefSeq lists it as uncharacterized. The record is from RefSeq and is a predicted model, not a curated record. The transcript has 5 exons. NCBI's taxonomy places the organism in Eukaryota, Metazoa, Chordata, Aves, Passeriformes, Passeridae.
UAAUGAGGGGAAGGAGGGCAGAGCCAGGCCUUUGUGUCUGGCCAGCAGUUAGGAGAGGAUUCCUUACAGGGAAAAGGCUCUUCACCCAUUUCCUGCUGGGGUUUUUACCACAGUUCUUAUGUUGUCUCUUACCUGGUACGAACACUCCAAACAAAACAACGUCCAGGACCUGGAGAGGAAAAGCACUGAACAGCCCUACAAACACUGCAAGCUGGAUAUUUUCUUGAUGAUCUCUGACCAGACUGGCUAAAGAUGUGGACACCAAGCAGCUCUUAACUGCCAGGAUAUAGAAUCUUUGGGCUUUAUUGUUCUUUAUUGUUCAACACAGGCACACUGGAGAACUCUCUUCAUUUAGGCACCACAAAGAGCUCAAGGUCCACUUUAUGCUUCCCUUCCAAGGCUGGCACGUGCUGUUAGGAGCCACAUGACACUGAGGGGGAACCAGUAGCCAUGCAGCUGUUUUCAAAGCAGAUCCUCGUGUCCUGAAGCACCCACAGGACUGACACUGGGAAAACCACAAUGGUACUUAAGGAACUCUGUGCUUUAGGGUCACAAAGACACACCUACCAGUGGGGAUGGUUUCUGGCAUGCUAUUUUUUGAAUGAAGUUUAAAAUAUUCUAACACACAUGAUAGAUACCACAGAUAAUACAUUUUAUCCAGAAGUCAUAUAUCCUCAUGUACAUACUCUUUUAAAUAUUCUUUAGUUGCUUUGUCUUUUUAUUUAUAAUCACUUUUGUAUAAAUUUCUCUCUGCUAUUAGUUUGAAACAAACAUGCAGUACUUAUUAAAAAAUCAUUGACUGUAUAUGAGGGGUAUAUGAAUAGCUAACUUCUGAUGCAAUGUAUAUGUCAAGAAACUGUUACAGGGCAAAUAAUCAGAAAAAUAACAGUAUUUUCAUCAAGAAAUGUCCACCUUGAAAAGAUUUCUACUACUUCUCCUGAAACAACUUCAACCAUAAAUACCAAUGGUAGAGAUCAGCAAACACAAAGAGCCUCCUUUAAAGUCUUCUACCAUCACUUCAAAUUAUAUUUUGAAUUUCCCGUUUCACAAAUAAAGGAAAUUCAUAUCUAGAAUACUGUUGCUGCCCAUGCCCCUUCAUGAAGAACACUAGACAGGCUUGUUCAUAAACAGAAAAUGCCUGAGUAACCAGAAACUGAUCCACAGUUUCUGGAUCGUCUUGAAUGUGAAUCAGGCUUGCAGACUUAUCACGCGAUGUUUAAAUAGAAAACGUACUUCAGUUUCAAAAAUGAAAAUGGACUUUGCCAAGUUCUGCAACAGUUCUGUCCCAAAAGGAUAGCAUGUUCAACUUAAUAUAAACAGAUUAUCCCGCUGGACCCUCUGAGUACUUGUAUUUCAGAGUUUCUUAAGUCUGUAACAUUUAUGCUUAUUUUCUGCCAGUACUAGAGUCUGCAAACCUGCUUUGCAAAUUAACCUUCAAAUAUGAAAGCUUAUCCUUAGGAAACAGAUCUCAGUAGCAGACUGCAAAAUAAAUAAAGGCAAUUGGUCAUGCAAGCCUUAAUAUAAGAAAGGAUAUAUUGUAAAGAAACCUAAUCUAUAUCUCUACAGUCAGUGCAAUUUAAAUGCCCAUAUUACUGAGCAAUGCAAAAUUGAAAAUACUCAUGUUACUGCACACAUAAGUAAUUUAUUUGGGUCUAUGCAUAGGAGCAGGGGGCGGUUUAGGACCUGUGAAUUGUAAUAAAGUGAUUUGUGGCACUGAUUGUUCUGAAUAUUGUUAUUUUGAAGCCUCCAGUGGCAGGUCUGAGCAGGCUUUUCAGCAGUCUGCAGUCCUCAUCUAUUGGAUCAUCCUGUGGGGUGACCUAGAUGGCCUAUCCUGAGGCAAACUUCAUGUGCUUUAAAAAGCACAUUUACUCAUAAUUUGGGCUGGCUGUGGUGACCUGUUCCUGACUUGCCAUCACUGUUUAUCCCAUCUGCCCUUCCAGAAAUAUCAUUAGAUUAACAUUGAGCAGAGAAAAUACUUUUAUUUCUCCCCUCAAAGAGCCAUGAAUUCUGUGAAUUCUGUGCGCCACCUGCAAACAGCAGGUGAGAUCUGCAGGAUCCUCGAUGGUGAGCUGGGGCUGCCUCCCAGGGCAGCCCUGGUGACCAGCACUUGUUUUCACAAGAGCUGGGUUUUCAGGCCAGGCUGGAGAGGGGAGCUCCCCAGGGAGAGGGCAGACAGGAAAAGGUCUGGGAGGUUGAGCUCCCGCCUUUUCCGUAAGUGUGCCCCCUCCUGCACAGCUGCACUUGGAACUCAGGACAUUCUGAAAAUCCCAUUCAAAUUCCAAACCCUGAAAACCGGGAUGAGUAAUGGUUCUUAAUGGAUUGUUUCUUCUGUAUGCUGUUUACUUGGCUUUUGCAUUUUCUUUUGCCUACUGCAUGAGUCAGCUUCACUCAGCUGCUGUGCGCAAAUUACAGGUUUUCAACUUUAAUGAAGGUCCAUGUUUUUUAAAUGCUUCCACAGAAAGGAGUUAAGAUAUGAUCUUUAUGUCCUAAAAAAAAAAACCAAACAACAACCUCCAAACCUUUUUCAAAGCAGAUUUUAAUUAAAUAAUUCCAUUGGAAAGCAUUCCUUUUUACCUCAAAAUACAGAAAUGUCAUCCUGAUAAUGUUUGAUCACGACUUUCCGAAGCAAUUAUUUGCUAUUGUAAUUUGUUUUACAGAGAUGAAAAUAUGCUCUGCCAAUAUUUUAAAGAAAACCCACUCAUAUUUCCUCUUCAAGUUUUAACAUAAAAAUAUUUAACUUUAUAUUAAAAAAAAGCUAUAGAAUGUAGGGCAACAUUUAGAGAGUAAAUAGGUAUUCUUGUUGUAUUUUCCUUCUACAUUAAUUUCAUAAAUUAAAUGGAUUUGGCUUACCUGAAUACCCUUCAGUCCACACAGGAAGUAGUUAUGCCACUGAGGUUUGGUUUUGUUAAUCUGAAUGUUAUUAACACUAGUACUGAAAUCCCUGCAAAAACAGAAAAACCUUAAGGCUUUAAUUUGUAUUAAAUUUAGUUUGAAAAAACAUGGCUUGUUACUGCCACCUGCUGAUGGACAAAACUGGUUUGAUGGUUUUCAGUGCAAUGUUCUCUGGCUUGGUUUCUUGUUUGAUCUUUUUACAUAUCUUCUUUAGUAAUCAUUUCUAUAUGGUUAUUUUAGAUGAAAGCAUAAGAAUUCUUGAGUAAGUAUAAAGAAUAUAUUAAAUAAAUCCAGAAAUUAAGCUGCCUUUGACAUCCUUAAUUAAGGCAGGAUGCCUCCUAUCAUGUAUGUGUAUGUUAUCAUUACUUUUUAGAAGUGGAAAUUCAAAUAGUCAUAUCUGUCAAACCAUGACUAGAGACAGAUAAACUUCAGGCUCUCUGGUAAUUCCUGCUCAGGAUUUAAUCUUCAUUACCUUUGCUCUCAAUGGCACUUCACAAAAACAAGCCUAAUGCUCCAGAAUUAUAUUAUGUAUGUUACAAGACAAAAAUAUUUAGUUUAAAUAUUUUAUCUGUUUCCUCCUGGAUAACUCCUACUCCAUAUUUCUUUCAAGUUACUAAAAAUACUGAGCUUGAAUGUUCCUAAAGAACAGCCAGGUGCUGUCAGAAUGGGCAUAGGUGACACACAGAGGCCUCGGGGAGGUGCAGGUUGUCUGGCAGUCUGUACCCUUCUGUACCCUUGAACACCCAGGAACUUCAUUUGCUUGAUGUUGUGACAGCAGGUGCCCAACACAGAAACAGCAGAGGCACUGAGAACAGCAAGAAAUCAAAUUAAAAAUAUUCAGAAGUUCCAGACUAAGGUGUGCUCUACAAGGCAAGGUCUGCUAAAAUAUAUGAACAGAGGCAGCUGGAAAUAUUUAAUUUAAUUCCUGGAAAUAUUUAACAGGAAUAAAACCAUUUUCAAGAAAUAAUACUUCAGGGGACAGUCUGCAACUCCUAAAAGGAUGGAAUUUUUCCUUUUUACACUGGUCCUAGUAAACUACAUAGAUUGUUGAUUUCCUGCGCUUAUUUUUGUCCAAAAGGACAUCACUGAUCAAUACUUGUAAUGGAUACCAGUGAAAAUAUGGUUUUAUCAGUUAAUGAUUCUGUUACCUAUGGAGAAAAAGUUGUACAAAUAUAAAGCAUCCAUGAUAUAACUGUAUUCAAGCAAUGUGUGAAAAGCUCAUUUUAUUCUGGUGCAUUAGAGGCUGCAAUUUUUGUGUCAUGCAAACCCCCAAGGCAACAAGCAGUGUUGCAGUGGCAGCAGAAUUCAUCUGGUCUGUUGCCUGUCCCUCUGCAGAGAGGAUCUCCACUUGUGCUCCCAGCCCACUCCCAGCUCCAUGGCAUGACACAUCUGGCACUUGGACUAUCAACUCAGAAUUCUCAUUUUGCCAGUUACACAUUCAAGUUCAACCUUAAUCACAGAGCAAAUCCAUCAGGUUGGUGUACAGUUUAAUGUGUAAGCUGCUAUCUUAGUGCCACAAACAGGAUUUUAUCAGCAGUGCAGCAGCAAGAAUUGCACAAAGCUAGAGUAAGAAAUUACCAGGUUUUGCUGAGGAACACAAAGAUAUGAAAGGGAGUACUGAGAUUAGAGUACUAGGAAAGUUUGAGAAUGGCUGUAAAUUCUCCCAAUUUGAGAUUCAUGUGUAUUUAGAAUGAUCUCCAAGAAAAUAAAACAUCAACUUGCUUAUGGUUUUUGAAUAAAAUAAACCCCCUACGAGGUAUUUGUAAAAUAGAAAAUACAUGUCAUAAGUAAUGAAGAUUUUAAAAUUCUGUGUUUGUUUAUUCUUGCUUCCUAAAAUAAUCCUAAAUUAUUGUUGUAAGAAACAAGGCUGGUGGAAAGCAAUGUGUGAAAGUGACUAAGAGAAAAGGAAUCUUAAAUCUUCUUUGCCUCAAAGAAUUCUAAAAUAUUUUAUCUUCAUAAUUUAUUUUACCCUCUCAGAGAAAAAUUUCAAUGAACAUGAAGACAUAUUAUGAUUAUAUAUUUGCUGGUUCUCAAGAUAAAUUAAAAUAAUGACUUCUUAAAAUGCAUUUUGCUAUUUUUUGCAAUCUUCUUACAUAGAAAAUAGAAGAAAAAAAAUGGCUUUGAUUUUGGCAGGUUUUGUAAGGACAUAAUUCACACAAACACAGAAUGUGGGACUGUCAAAAUCCCCAGAAUACUUAAGUCUAUUUUUUCAUUCAGUUUUUUAUAAAAAACAGUUCCUAAAUAUCCAAGCCUUAUCUUAAAUCAGUAAAUCAUCAGGCUUGCCUUUGAACCUCCUACUGAAAAUUAGGCAUUUUAAUAUAAGAACUUUAUAACAAAAUAAAUAAAAUAUUGGGAAAAACAUACCCAUGAAAUAAAAAUACUCUGAUAUUGUCUGUUCCAGCCUUUCUGUUUUAAAGAAUGCUUGGGGAAAAACUGCCAGUUCUCCACAACCAGACAUAAAAACUUCAUUUUUUCUGUAUAAUUAGAAGAGAUGGGAUUUUUAAGUCGUGUGACUGGUUUUUACUGCUUGAAUAGUAAAUAAUCCCUUAUUUUUGGGAGAUCAAUUUGGCUCUUUCUCACAGAACCUUAUUGUCUUGUCAGUCUGUUAGUUUAUCUGUUUGAGUCUUCUGUACAAAUACCCUGAUUUAAAAACAAACAAACAAAACUUUCAGGUUUUGUCGUGAGAUGGAAACUGAUUGGUAAUUACCAUCCUCUGGUACUUCUGAAGGCACUUUGAGAAGCAUAAUGUCAGUUAUUCUCUCUACACAUACUUCUCAAUUACAAAGAUGUCUCGUGAAGGGGAGGUAUCAAGAACUUCAAAAGAAUGUAAGUUUUGAAUACCUUUUUAGUCCCAAUAACAUAAAAGGCAUCAGAUCAGUUGAGAUAAUUUAUGAUAAAAAACAAACAGGUGGUUUUUCUAGCAACCUGUUCUCUGUUCUAUUUCUACUGAAAGUUAACGUGAACUAUCAGGGUGGAAGAGUGCUACAGAACUGUUCCACAGUUUACCAGUUCACAAAAUAAGAAUGAAAUAGGAAAUAGUAAUUCUACAGAGGAUUCUGGUUAGUCCUUGUUCACCAAAGGCCUAUAGAUACACAUUCACCACAGGCAUAAAUCUACCAGUGUAACAGGCUGGGAAAAAAAAGACACACUGUCAUCAGUUUUGUUAUGUGGUGUAACAUUCAAAGUGUUGAAAAAGAUUUCUUUGUUAUGAAAUUAUGGACAUGUUUUAGCUUUGUUUUUAAGCAACAGUGUCUCAACAAAACCAAGAUGCUUAAUGCUGUGUUCUGAGAUCUUUUCUUGGUUUAUGGUUUGAAGCAUAUGAUUUUAAACUGAAACCAGGGCAGAUGUAAAAAUAUAGUGACAGUGUGUGCAAUUUAAAUUCAAAGGCUGUAAUUCUACAUUUUGUGGAACUGUCCUGAAUUGCAAGAUAAUGCAGCAAAGCUUGAAGACCAAGUGAAAAUAUUUACCUUUUUAUUACUGCUUUAUUUAGUGUUCAUUAGAACAACUUUUCCUAAUCAAAACUAUUGUAAUUCUGAAGCUAUUGUCUCUUGCAGAAUGGUUUUGCAACACAGCUUAAGCCCUGGUGGGAGGUUGCUGUUGAAGAAAGGGAAAGGUCCCACACAUCUUCCAUUUCCCUUCCCUGUUCACCACCACUGCUUGCUCCCACUAUUAACCCCAACUCAGCUUUAGUGCUGGGUGCAUGGCAGUUCACUAAAAUGACAGAAAAUUAUCCAAGCAAAAAGUGGGGGAAUAGUGCACUUCACCUUAAGAUCAAACAAGUACUCUACACCUGCUAAAAGGCAGAGGCUGAGUUGAUCUUCGAAGCAGGUACAGGGCGACGAGGGGUAAAAGAAGCCAAGCCAUUGCCUUUGGCAGUGGCAAACAUCUUAAUUCAGCCCAGCUGUAAUGUGAAAACAUACUCCACAAGUGAAAAAUCUCAGGGUAUUUAUAUUUAGCAUGGAAGUACAAAUUCUUUUCAACUAUCUUAGUCACAGGCAGCAGUUCAGAAUGUGUUUAUAACAAACUGAGCUUUAAGCAGGAGUGUGUGCGCAAGUAUUUCCCACUUUUGACAUUAUGUUCCUGUCCCUGUGCUGCCACACACUGUGCUUUCAGGAACUAAUUUACCAAUUAAAGCAAUGGCUCAAUAAAAAUGGCUUAAACUAAGCUUUUGCUGAUUCUGAUUUUUGCAAAAUGUCCACAAAAGCUCAUGUGGGUGAAUGACCUGAUUUGAACUGCCAUGCAACUACACAAAUAUCAGCCUGUUACAAAGAGGCAGAAAAACGUGCCUGAAGUUGAAAAGAGUGGCAGGAUUAUUUCCCUAUGUUCAGCACUUGUGAGACCAUAGUGGAAUAUUGCAUCCAGUUUUGGGGUUUCCCAAUACAUGAAAGACAUUGGCAUGGAGUUCAGGAGAAGGCCAACAAGAUUAUUUACAAGGGAUCUUCAAAGGUCCUUUCCAACCUAAAUUGCCCUAUAAUUCUGUGAACAACAGCUGUGGAAGAAGUGGAAGCAAGGGAAUACAGAUUUUUUUUUGAGCCAGGAUUGUUGGUAAAGCUGUUGUGCUGUGAAAACACAGGCCCAGGUUCUCCAGAGCAGGGGAGUGUUAACUUACUUUGGCAGUAAUUGAUUAAAAAACAUUCCACCCCCUUCUCUAGGGGACAUGGAGCUGCUGCCAAUUAUGGGGAUUAUAUCGAGAAAGAUGAGAUAAAAGAAGGAAGGACAGAAUUGCAGAAUUUUAAAAGGAUUGAAAAAUCAGAGGCCUUACAGAGUAAUAUGGACAAACAGGUGGGGGACAGCAGCUGCAAAGCUAUUGCUCUGAACUAACAGACACGGCAUGGAGUCAGGGAUUCCAUCUGCUGAUAUAAAUUGUUUUACACAAUCAGACUCUGUAUUGCAAUGGAAGUCUGUCAGAUCUCUGAAAAGGUAAACUGUAUUGCAAUGCAUGAAGAGGUUCAUAAAAAUAAUUAAUAAAAAAGUAAUUACGUACAAGUACGAAGAAUUGGUAUUUGCCAGUUGCACAACUUGAGUUUGCACAGGUUCUACUGCAAUCAGGAUAUCUUGUUCUAUAGCCAUUGGGAGCACAGCAUAGCCACAGUAAUCUAUGUGUUCUCCUAACAAAGAAACAAAGAAAAUACUUUGCAAUAAUUCUUUCUAGAAUAGCAAUAACACGAUUUCUACAGGGCUUCAGUGUUCUUUACUGGAUGAGACAAUUUCUUACUGUAGUUUCAACUCUUAUUACCUAAAGUUUGGGGCACAUUUCCUCCAUUUCUUAUUACUUCACAAGAAGUUUUUCUUUCUUUAGUGAUUUUUAUCUACUGCCUGUUUAUAAAUGGUCAUAUUUUAACACUGACUUACAAAAAUUAUAAAAAACCCCCACCAUGUAGAUUACUGCCCAAGGAUGAGAACUGUCAUGUGCAUACAAUUUCUGGACCUUUUUUCAAGAAGAUAACUACUAUAUUUAAAUAAUCAUUAAUACAAUCAAAUAGAAAAUGUAUGUAGUAAACAUCCUCUCCCUUGGGAAUAAUUCCCAGUUACCACAUGCUCGUUAGUCUAUGUGAGAUGUUCACAUAACACUGAUAUAAAAAUUAACAUUAACUGCAUAAUAAACUAAUUGACUUUUACAGCUCUGUUUCUCAAGAUCCUUUUACUACGUCUUCAAAUGUGUAGGGUUAUUUUAUGAACAUAUGCAAGAAACUGAGCUCCAGGGAGAACACAAUCCUAACACAGACAGAGGAAUCUAAAAAAUAAGGCUGCUGCAGAAAUAAAAAACUGGAAGCCUACUUAAUGCAAAGUGGAAGUAAGAAGACUGCAACAAGAACCAGAUGUUAGAAAAUUCCACAAUUACUUAGUUUCUACAUCUUUGUGUUACUGUUCAGCUACAUGUAUGCAAAUGUUUCAUAAGGUUUUUAUAAAUGGAAAGCUAAAAAAUUAAAUUUGUGGUGGUAUUUUAUUUUUUAAUAGAUCUUUCAGUACCUUUCUAUCUUUGUGCCCAGUUACAAAGCUGUAUUAGGUCUAUGAUUUCUCCUUCUUAUAAUCUCCCCUAGUAUUGACUGGUAUAUAAUCCACCAAUUAGCAAAAGCAAUUUCUGCCAUUUCAUUGUUCAAUCCCUUCUCUAGAUCGCAUUAAUAAUAUUAUAGUCCACCGGGGAAUCUGUUGGCAGAAUUCUAGGUGUUAACUUUAUUCCAUUUUGUGUCAGUAUUUAGAAUGCUGCUUUGUUUCACAGAUAUUUUUAUAGUAGCGUUGGUACCAAGAGACAACAAACAAAGCAGUCAUGAGGGCAUGUUUAUCUAAGUGCUGAUUGAUCUCUUUUUUUAAUGUGGGUUUUACAAGCAGGCGUGAUGAAAGGCUAUUUACAGGCUGUGGCCUUGAUGUUGCAAGACGCACACUGCAUUUCAAGCACCUACAUCGAGAAGAAAAUUGUCAGGAGCCUUAAAGCAAAGAGGCACAACUUCACACUUCCAAGUCUGGAAAUGCCGGACUUGUCGUAUCCGCGGGAUUGGCGGUGCAAAUGAAGUAGCCGGUGUUUUAAGAAGUGCCGUAGCGCAGCGCUAAGGCAGGCAGAGAGGCUCGCCUGUGCGCGUGUUGACUGCACACACCGAGCGCGGCUCCAUGGGCAGGAGCAGGCGCUGCCACAGGACGGGCCAGGCCAGCGCUGCUCCAGGGCCUUUUACAGCAAAAAGGACGAGAGAAUAAUCAGCAUUCCCCAAAAACUCUGGGGAAAAUGAUGUAGGCGAAAUGAUGGAUGAAUAAAUGAAUGAAUGAAUGAACGAUUCCUCCUGCUGCCCCAGCGCCACCCUGCGAGGGGCGUCAGGGCGGGCCGGGAUGCUGUGGGUGGGAGAAGGGGCCGGAGCCCGGGCAGCCUUCGCUCGUGUCAGGGAAAAACCUACGGAGUG